GAAAUGCGAUAAGUAAUGUGAAUUGCAGAAUUCCGUGAAUCAUCGAAUCUUUGAACGCACAUUGCGCCCUAUGGUAUUCCGGAGAGCAUGCCCGUUUCAGAAUCAAUAAAAACCUCACCAAGCUCAUUGCUCUCGGGCAGUGACCAUUGGCUGGAUUUGGAUUUUUGCGUUUGCAAUCAUCUUAAAGUGAUUGUUUGUGCACCAAUUGAAUAGUAUCUUUUGGUUGUUCAAGUGCAACAGAGUUAUCUAUUUCGCUUUGGCAACUGAUUGACGCAUUUGAUGCUCACGCUUUUUAACAACUGAGGAGUUCGAAUCGGUUUGAUUUGAACCUCCCAAAACCUUGAUCUGAAAUCGGGCAAGAAAACCCGCUGAACUUAA
RNAcentral lists this unclassified non-coding RNA (378 nucleotides) under uncultured Chytridiomycota. RNAcentral describes it as "sequence contains ITS1". The stretch from base 1 to 105 matches the Rfam family "5.8S ribosomal RNA", at positions 50 to 154 of the family's 154-position model. The record is from RNAcentral. Lineage: Eukaryota; Fungi; Chytridiomycota.